CGUGCUUUCGAUACGGGUUGACUUGAGGAAGGUAGGGGAGAAUGGAAUUCCUGGUGGAGCGGUGGAAUGCGCAGAUAUCAGGAGGAACACCAGUGGCGAAGGCGGUUCUCUGGGCCUUUCCUGACGCUGAGGAGCGAAAGCGUGGGGAGCGAACAGGCUUAGAUACCCUGGUAGUCCACGCUGUAAACGGUGGGUACUAGGUGUGGGGUCCAUUCCACGGGUUCCGUGCCGUAGCUAACGCUUUAAGUACCCCGCCUGGGGAGUACGGCCGCAAGGCUAAAACUCAAAGGAAUUGACGGGGCCCCGCACAAGCGGCGGAGCAUGCGGAUUAAUUCGAUGCAACGCGUAGAACCUUACCUGGGUUUGACAUGGAUCGGGAGUGCUCAGAGAUGGGUGUGCCUCUUUUGGGGUCGGUUCACAGGUGGUGCAUGGCUGUCGUCAGCUCGUGUCGUGAGAUGUUGGGUUAAGUCCCGCAACGAGCGCAACCCUUGUUCACUGUUGCCAGCACGUUAUGGUGGGGACUCAGUGGAGACCGCCGGGGUCAACUCGGAGGAAGGUGGGGAUGACGUCAAGUCAUCAUGCCCCUUAUGUCCAGGGCUUCACGCAUGCUACAAUGGCUGGUACAGAGAGUGGCGAGCCUGUGAGGGUGAGCGAAUCUCGGAAAGCCGGUCUCAGUUCGGAUUGGGGUCUGCAACUCGACCUCAUGAAGUCGGAGUCGCUAGUAAUCGCAGAUCAGCAACGCUGCGGUGAAUACGUUCCCGGGGCUUGUACACACCGCCCGUCAAGUCAUGAAAGUUGGUAACACCCGAAGCCGGAGGCCUAACCGUUGUGGGGGAGCCGUCGAAGGUGGGACCC
RNAcentral lists this ribosomal RNA (855 nucleotides) under uncultured organism. RNAcentral describes it as "SSU rRNA". It matches the Rfam family "Bacterial small subunit ribosomal RNA", at positions 620 to 1470 of the family's 1533-position model. The record is from RNAcentral.